This 447-nucleotide ribosomal RNA is filed under the name uncultured bacterium. RNAcentral describes it as "bacterial SSU rRNA". It matches the Rfam family "Bacterial small subunit ribosomal RNA", at positions 355 to 825 of the family's 1533-position model. The record is from RNAcentral.
UGGGGAAUAUUGGACAAUGGGCGAAAGCCUGAUCCAGCCAUGCCGCGUGAGUGACGAAGGCCUUAGGGUUGUAAAACUCUUUCGUCGGGGACGAUAAUGACGGUACCCGAAGAAGAAGCUCCGGCUAACUUCGUGCCAGCAGCCGCGGUAAUACGAAGGGAGCUAGCGUUGUUCGGAAUCACUGGGCGUAAAGCGCACGUAGGCGGAUAGUUAAGUCAGGGGUGAAAUCCUGGGGCUCAACCCCAGAACUGCCUUUGAUACUGGCUGUCUCGAGGUCGAGAGAGGUUGGUGGAAUUCCUAGUGUAGAGGUGAAAUUCGUAGAUAUUGGGAAGAACACCAGUGGCGAAGGCGGCUAACUGGUCCGGUACUGACGCUGAGGUGCGAAAGCGUGGGGAGCAAACAGGAUUAGAUACCCAAGUAGUCCCUGAGCGGGCUGGCAAGGCGCAU